This 62-nucleotide transfer RNA is filed under the name Emydocephalus ijimae. RNAcentral's name for it is "tRNA-Phe". The record is from RNAcentral. RNAcentral also lists the same sequence under 2 other names. Lineage: Eukaryota; Metazoa; Chordata; Lepidosauria; Squamata; Elapidae.
GUUAUUAUAGCUUACAAACAAGCAUAGCACUGAAAAUGCUAAGACGGCCCCACCUAAUAACA